GAGUUUGAUCCUGGCUCAGAACAAACGCUGGCGGCGUACUUAACACAUGCAAGUCGAACUGAGAAAAGAAGCUUCGGCUUCCGAGUAAAGUGGCGAACUGGGUGCGUAACACGUAAGUAAUCUACCCUAAACUCUGGAAUAACUCCCCGAAAGGGGGGCUAAGACUGGAUAGGGUCCUCGAGGUGUAAGCCGCGAGGGGAAAGCAGGCCUCUGUUGCAUGCUUGCGGUUUAGGAUGAGCUUGCGUCCCAUUAGUUUGUUGGUGAGGUAACGGCUCACCAAGACUACGAUGGGUAGCUGGUCUGAGAGGAUGAUCAGCCACACUGGCACUGAGACACGGGCCAGACUCCUACGGGAGGCAGCAGUGGGGAAUUUUGCGCAAUGGGCGAAAGCCUGACGCAGUAACGCCGUGUGGAGGACGAAGGCCUUCGGGUUGUAAACUCCUGUCAGGGGGAAAGAAGGACUGGUUGAGAAAAUAUUUCUUCUGGUUCUGACGGUACCCCCAAAGGAAGCCCCGGCUAAUUCCGUGCCAGCAGCCGCGGUAAUACGGAAGGGGCUAGCGUUGUUCGGAAUCAUUGGGCGUAAAGGGCGCGUAGGUGGUCUUAUGUGUCCGUCGUGAAAGUGCACGGCUCAACCGUGUUUGGUCGGCGGAAACUGUAGGACUUGAGGCUGGGAGGGGCUAGAGGAAUUCCCUGUGUAGCGGUGAAAUGCGUAGAGAUGGGGGAGAACACUCGUGGCGAAGGCGUCUAGCUGGACCAGUCCUGACACUGAGGCGCGAAAGCAGUGGGUAGCAAACAGGAUUAGAUACCCUGGUAGUC
This 816-nucleotide ribosomal RNA is filed under the name uncultured delta proteobacterium. Its description in RNAcentral is "bacterial SSU rRNA". It matches the Rfam family "Bacterial small subunit ribosomal RNA", at positions 9 to 795 of the family's 1533-position model. The record is from RNAcentral. Lineage: Bacteria; Deltaproteobacteria.